UGGGGAAUUUUGGACAAUGGGCGCAAGCCUGAUCCAGCCAUGCCGCGUGCGGGAAGAAGGCCUUCGGGUUGUAAACCGCUUUUGUCAGGGAAGAAAUCUUCUGAGUUAAUACCUCGGGAGGAUGACGGUACCUGAAGAAUAAGCACCGGCUAACUACGUGCCAGCAGCCGCGGUAAUACGUAGGGUGCAAGCGUUAAUCGGAAUUACUGGGCGUAAAGCGUGCGCAGGCGGUUUUGUAAGACAGAGGUGAAAUCCCCGGGCUCAACCUGGGAACUGCCUUUGUGACUGCAAGGCUUGAGUGCGGCAGAGGGGGCAUGGAAUUCCGCGUGUAGCAGUGAAAUGCGUAGAUAUGCGGAGGAACACCGAUGGCGAAGGCAAUCCCCUGGGCCUGCACUGACGCUCAUGCACGAAAGCGCGGGGAGCAAACAGGAUUAGAUACCCUGGUAGUCCACGCCCUAAACGAUGUCAACUGGUUGUUGGGAAGGUUCCUUCUCAGUAACGUAGCUAACGCGUGAAGUUGACCGCCUGGGGAGUACGGCCGCAAGGUUGAAAC
Molecule: ribosomal RNA, 553 nt
Filed under: uncultured bacterium
Lineage: Bacteria
Description: partial 16S ribosomal RNA
Rfam family: Bacterial small subunit ribosomal RNA
Source: RNAcentral